RNAcentral lists this ribosomal RNA (217 nucleotides) under uncultured fungus. RNAcentral's name for it is "partial small subunit ribosomal RNA". The stretch from base 93 to 217 matches the Rfam family "Eukaryotic small subunit ribosomal RNA", at positions 738 to 864 of the family's 1831-position model. The record is from RNAcentral. Lineage: Eukaryota; Fungi.
GGGUCUGUCCAUCGGUCGGGCUUCACGGUCCGUACUGGUGAGAUGGGUUCCUACCUUCUGAAUAACCGGCAUGCCAUUCAGUUGGUGCGCCGGGGAAGCAGAGCUAUUACCUUGAAAAAAUUAGAGUGCUUAAAGCAGGCUAGUGCUUGAAUAGAUUAGCAUGGAAUAAUAAAAUAGGACGUGCGGUUCUAUUUUGUUGGUUUCUAGAGUCGCCGUA